CGAAGCAGUGGUUCUAUGUAAAGUCUAGAUGCCCUGCUGCUAAUGAAAGUAUUCCUCCUAUUGAACAUUUUUGGGGGAGUACAAAGAAGAAGAAUGCAGGGGGGGUGGACGUCACCUGGAAAGGGAGCACUCGCCGAAAUGCCGAUGUUAUCUGAUGAAGCAGGGCUUUAUCUGUAUCCUGUGUUGAAGUUUAGAUGA
Molecule: long non-coding RNA, 198 nt
Filed under: Fukomys damarensis (Damara mole-rat)
Lineage: Eukaryota; Metazoa; Chordata; Mammalia; Rodentia; Bathyergidae
Description: lncRNA (ENSFDAG00000022570.1)
Source: RNAcentral